AAACCCAGGUGGUGUGAGAUGGAUCCGCGUCUGAUUAGCCAGUUGGCGGGGUAACGGCCCACCAAAGCGACGAUCAGUAGCCGACCUGAGAGGGUGACCGGCCACAUUGGGACUGAGACACGGCCCAAACUCCUACGGGAGGCAGCAGUGGGGAAUAUUGCACAAUGGGCGCAAGCCUGAUGCAGCGACGCCGCGUGAGUGAAGAAGUAUCUCGGUAUGUAAAGCUCUAUCAGCAGGGAAGAAAAUGACGGUACCUGACUAAGAAGCCCCGGCUAACUACGUGCCAGCAGCCGCGGUAAUACGUAGGGGGCAAGCGUUAUCCGGAUUUACUGGGUGUAAAGGGAGCGUAGACGGCGACGCAAGUCUGGAGUGAAAGCCCGGGGCCCAACCCCGGGACUGCUUUGGAAACUGUGCUGCUGGAGUGCAGGAGAGGUAAGUGGAAUUCCUAGUGUAGCGGUGAAAUGCGUAGAUAUUAGGAGGAACACCAGUGGCGAAGGCGGCUUACUGGACUGUAACUGACGUUGAGGCUCGAAAGCGUGGGGAGCA
This 546-nucleotide ribosomal RNA is filed under the name uncultured bacterium. Its description in RNAcentral is "bacterial SSU rRNA". It matches the Rfam family "Bacterial small subunit ribosomal RNA", at positions 202 to 770 of the family's 1533-position model. The record is from RNAcentral.